RNAcentral lists this ribosomal RNA (248 nucleotides) under uncultured euryarchaeote. RNAcentral describes it as "partial 16S ribosomal RNA". It matches the Rfam family "Archaeal small subunit ribosomal RNA", at positions 478 to 725 of the family's 1478-position model. Lineage: Archaea; Methanobacteriati; Methanobacteriota. The record is from RNAcentral.
GGCGCCCCGAGUGGCACUCGCGAUUAUUGGGCCUAAAGCGUCCGUAGCCGGAUUGGUAAAUCCUCUGUGAAAUCGUACUGCUCAACGGUACGGCGCGCAGGGGACACUGCUAGUCUAGGGACCGGGAGGGGUCAGAGGUAUGCCGUGGGGACCGGUAAAAUGGGAUAAUCCACGGUAGACCACCAAUGGCGAAGGCAUCUGACCAGAACGGAUCCGACGGUGAGGGACGAAAGCCAGGGGAGCGAACC